AGUGGGAGCUGGCUUGCCUGCGAUGACGGUGUAUCAGUCACUGCAUGGUUGACUGAUGAAUCGCAAUCGCAGGCAAGCCAGCUCCCACU
RNAcentral lists this unclassified non-coding RNA (89 nucleotides) under Pseudomonas sp. bs2935. Lineage: Bacteria; Pseudomonadati; Pseudomonadota; Gammaproteobacteria; Pseudomonadales; Pseudomonadaceae. The record is from RNAcentral.